GAUGAAGAACGCAGCGAAAUGCGAUAAGUAAUGUGAAUUGCAGAAUUCAGUGAAUCAUCGAAUCUUUGAACGCACCUUGCGCCCUUUGGCCAUUCCGAAGGGCAUGCCUGUUUGAGUAUCAUGAACACCUCAACUCUUCAUGGUUUUCCGUGAUGAGCUUGGACUUUGGGGGUCUUGCUGGCCUAUGGUCAGCUCCUCUAAAAUAAAUCAGCUUGCCAGUGUUUGGUGGGUAUCACAGGUGUGAUAACUAUCUACGCUUGUGGUUUUCCACCAGGUAACCUUCAGCAGUGGAGGUUCGCUGGAGCUCACAGAUGUGUCUCUCCUCAGUGAGGACAGCUCUUUGAAUGUUUGAUCUCAAAUCAGGUAGGACUACCCGCUGAACUUAAGCAUAUCAAUAGCGGAGGA
Molecule: unclassified non-coding RNA, 405 nt
Filed under: soil metagenome
Description: partial contains 5.8S ribosomal RNA, internal transcribed spacer 2, and large subunit ribosomal RNA
Rfam family: 5.8S ribosomal RNA (bases 1-121)
Source: RNAcentral